AAUCAACGCUGGCGGCGUGCCUCAGACAUGCAAGUCGAACGCGAAAGUUCCCUUCGGGGAGCAAGUAGAGUGGCGCACGGGUGAGUAACACGUAGGUAAUUUGCCUUCGGGUGGGGAAUAACAGUCGGAAACGACUGCUAAUACCGCAUAAUGCAGCGGCUCGACAUCGAGACAGUUGUUAAAGCGGGGGAGUCCUUCGGGACCUCGCGCCUGAAGAGAAGCCUGCGGCAGAUUAGCUAGUUGGUGAGGUAAUGGCCCACCAAGGCUACGAUCUGUAACCGGCCUGAGAGGGCGGUCGGUCACACUGACACUGACAUACGGGUCAGACUCCUACGGGAGGCAGCAGUCGGGAAUUUUGGGCAAUGGGCGCAAGCCUGACCCAGCAACGCCGCGUGAAGGAUGAAAUUUUUCGGAAUGUAAACUUCGCAAGAACGGG
This 436-nucleotide ribosomal RNA is filed under the name uncultured bacterium. RNAcentral's name for it is "bacterial SSU rRNA". It matches the Rfam family "Bacterial small subunit ribosomal RNA", at positions 32 to 444 of the family's 1533-position model. The record is from RNAcentral.